UUGUUCGCAAUGGGCGCAAGCCUGACGACGCAACGCCGCGUGGAGGAUGAAGAUCUUCGGGUCGUAAACUCCUUUCGAUCGAGACGAAUGGCCUUCGGAUGAACAAUCCGGAGGAAUGACGGUACCGAGAGAAGAAGCCCCGGCUAACUCCGUGCCAGCAGCCGCGGUAAUACGGGGGGGGCAAGCGUUGUUCGGAAUUACUGGGCGUAAAGGGCUCGUAGGCGGCCAACUAAGUCACACGUGAAAUCCCUCGGCUCAACCGGGGAACUGCGUGUGAUACUGGAUGGCUUGAGUUCGGGAGAGGGAUGCGGAAUUCCAGGUGUAGCGGUGAAAUGCGUAGAUAUCUGGAGGAACACCGGUGGCGAAGGCGGCAUCCUGGACCGACACUGACGCUGAGGAGCGAAAGCCAGGGGAGCAAACGG
RNAcentral lists this ribosomal RNA (422 nucleotides) under uncultured bacterium. RNAcentral's name for it is "bacterial SSU rRNA". It matches the Rfam family "Bacterial small subunit ribosomal RNA", at positions 362 to 775 of the family's 1533-position model. The record is from RNAcentral.